RNAcentral lists this ribosomal RNA (465 nucleotides) under Vreelandella stevensii. Its description in RNAcentral is "partial 16S ribosomal RNA". It matches the Rfam family "Bacterial small subunit ribosomal RNA", at positions 338 to 795 of the family's 1533-position model. Lineage: Bacteria; Pseudomonadati; Pseudomonadota; Gammaproteobacteria; Oceanospirillales; Halomonadaceae. The record is from RNAcentral.
CCUACGGGUGGCUGCAGUGGGGAAUAUUGGACAAUGGGCGAAAGCCUGAUCCAGCCAUGCCGCGUGUGUGAAGAAGGCCUUCGGGUUGUAAAGCACUUUCAGUGGGGAAGAAAGCCUUGGGGCUAAUACCCUCGAGGAAGGACAUCACCCACAGAAGAAGCACCGGCUAACUCCGUGCCAGCAGCCGCGGUAAUACGGAGGGUGCGAGCGUUAAUCGGAAUUACUGGGCGUAAAGCGCGCGUAGGCGGUCUGAUAAGCCGGUUGUGAAAGCCCCGGGCUCAACCUGGGAACGGCAUCCGGAACUGUCAGGCUAGAGUGCAGGAGAGGAAGGUAGAAUUCCCGGUGUAGCGGUGAAAUGCGUAGAGAUCAGGAGGAAUACCAGUGGCGAAGGCGGCCUUCUGGACUGACACUGACGCUGAGGUGCGAAAGCGUGGGUAGCAAACAGGAUUAGAUACCCGUGUAGUC